UUCAUUUACUGGACACCUUUUAUUCACUGCACCUGGGCCGAGACCUCUCUGUACCCUCAAUACACACUGCACCUGGGCCGAGACCACACUGUACCCCCAAUACACACUGCACCUGGGCCGAGACCUCUCUGUACCCCAAUACACACUGCACCUGGGCCGAGACCUCUCUGUACCCCCAAUACACACUGCACCGAGACCACACUGUACCCCCAAUACACACUGCACCUGGGCCGAGACCAAUCUGUACCCCCAAUACACACUGCACCUGGGCCGAGACCACUCUGUACCCCCAAUACACACUGCACCUGGGCCGAGACAACACUGUACCCCAAUACACACUGCACCUGGGCCGAGACCACACUGUACCCAAAUACACACUGCACCUGGGCCGAGACCACACUGUACCCCAAUACACACUGCACCUGGGCCGAGACCACACUGUACCCCAAUACACACUGCACCUGGGCCGAGACCACACUGUACCCCCAAUACACACUGCACCUGGGCCGAGACCACACUGUACCCCCAAACACACUGCACCUGGGCCGAGACCACUCUGUACCCCCAAUACACACUGCACCUGGGACGAGACCACACUGUACCCCCAAUACACACUGCACCUGGGCCGAGACAACACUGUACCCCCAAUUCACACUGCACCUGGGCCGAGACCACACUGUACCCCCAAUACACACUGCACCUGGGCCGAGACCACACUGUACCCCAAUACACACUGCACCUGGGCCGAGACCACACUGUACCCCCAAUUCACACUGCACCUGGGCCGAGACCUCUCUGUACCCCCAAUACACACUGCACCUGGGCCGAGACCUCUCUGUACCCCCAAUACACACUGCACCUGGGCCGAGACCACACUGUACCCCAAUACACACUGCACCUGGGCCGAGACCACACUGUACCCCCAAUACACACUGCACCUGGGCCGAGACCUCUCUGUACCCCCAAUACACACUGCACCUGGGCCGAGACCUCUCUGUACCCCCAAUACACACUGCACCUGGGCCGAGACCACUCUGUACCCCAAUACACACUGCACCUGGGCCGAGACCACUCUGUACCCCAAUACACACUGCACCUGGGCCAAGACCACUCUGUACCCCAAUACACACUGCACCUGGGCCGAGACCACUCUGUACCCCAAUACACACUGCACCUGGGCCGAGACCACUCUGUACCCCAAUACACACUGCACCUGGGCCGAGACCACUCUGUACCCCCAUACACAGUGCACCUGGGCCGAGACCUCUCAAUACCCCCAAUACACACUGCUCCUGGGCCGAGACCUCUCUGUACCCCCAAUACACACUGCACCUGGGCCGAGACCUCUCUCUACCCCCAUACACACGGCUCACUUUCUCAACGUGUACUCAAACUUACAGUGCCUUGCGAAAGUAUUCGGCCCCCUUGAACUUUGCGACCUUUUGCCACAUUUCAGGCUUCAAACAUAAAGAUAUAAAACUGUAUUUUUUUGUGAAGAAUCAACAACAAGUGGGACACAAUCAUGAAGUGGAACGACAUUUAUUGGAUAUUUCAACCUUUUUUAACAAAUCAAAAAACUGA
This is a long non-coding RNA of Oncorhynchus kisutch (coho salmon), 1581 nucleotides long. NCBI's taxonomy places the organism in Eukaryota, Metazoa, Chordata, Actinopteri, Salmoniformes, Salmonidae. The record is from Ensembl.